This 75-nucleotide transfer RNA is filed under the name Nitrospirota bacterium. Its description in RNAcentral is "tRNA-His". It matches the Rfam family "tRNA". Rfam says of the family: Transfer RNA (tRNA) molecules are approximately 80 nucleotides in length. Their secondary structure includes four short double-helical elements and three loops (D, anti-codon, and T loops). Further hydrogen bonds mediate the characteristic L-shaped molecular structure. tRNAs have two regions of fundamental functional importance: the anti-codon, which is responsible for specific mRNA codon recognition, and the 3' end, to which the tRNAs corresponding amino acid is attached (by aminoacyl-tRNA synthetases). tRNAs cope with the degeneracy of the genetic code in two manners: having more than one tRNA (with a specific anti-codon) for a particular amino acid; and 'wobble' base-pairing, i.e. permitting non-standard base-pairing at the 3rd anti-codon position. Lineage: Bacteria; Pseudomonadati; Nitrospirota. The record is from RNAcentral. RNAcentral also lists the same sequence under 2 other names.
GUGAGUGUAGCUCAAUGGCAGAGCACUGGUUUGUGGAUCCAGUGGUUGAGGGUUCGAUCCCCUUCACUCACCCCA